RNAcentral lists this long non-coding RNA (663 nucleotides) under Homo sapiens (human). RNAcentral describes it as "HSALNT0023913". The record is from RNAcentral. Lineage: Eukaryota; Metazoa; Chordata; Mammalia; Primates; Hominidae.
CAAUCAGCUAGCCUUGGGGUAUCUUUCACAAUGUAAUGGGUACUCAGCAACAUAAGUGUCCUAACUGGCCGCCUCUCAAAGAAAACUAAUACUGCAUACACAAAUAUAAAUUGGCAACAGCUUAAACACAAGUGCUGAUCCAUCGGGAACAGGAAAUGGGAACAGAGGAAACAGGAGCAGAGGACUCAAAGGAGGCAUCAAGUUCUACCUCCAGAAUUAGAACAGAAAAGAGAAAGGAAAGCUGCAAACCCAGUCAAUCCUGGCUGUGCAUGCAUCAGAACCACACCAGCCUUCCACGUCUGAGAUCCCGAGACAAGCUGCCUCUGAACCAGUAAGAGCCUCUUGCUCCUUCCUUCUGAGGAGCUACCCGGUGCCUGAGUACUGACUACAUACUCUCCAGAGGCAAGUGUGUCUUCAGACUUUCCACCUUCAUAGGCACAGUCCAGACCUAGUCGUCUUAUUACUUCUUUGUUAUGGGGCACUUUGAAAUAUAGAACCACGCCUUUAUGUUCUAGGACACUGGUCUCUCCCCAUUCCCUCUAUGUUAGAACAGCACUAUUGGUGCUGUGACAUAGGUCACCCCCUCUCAUGGACUUACACACUCCCUUUUCCAUUUCUUUCAUUCCAUUCAAGAAAUUUUGAAACAAGUGAUUUCUAAUUAAA